RNAcentral lists this ribosomal RNA (157 nucleotides) under Pythium sp. cernum/BP-2010. RNAcentral's name for it is "5.8S ribosomal RNA". It matches the Rfam family "5.8S ribosomal RNA". From Rfam's summary of the family: 5.8S ribosomal RNA (5.8S rRNA) is a component of the large subunit of the eukaryotic ribosome. Lineage: Eukaryota; Oomycota; Peronosporomycetes; Pythiales; Pythiaceae. The record is from RNAcentral.
CAACUUUCACCAUUGCAUGGCUAGGGACGCACAUCGAUAAAAAACGCUGCGAACUGCGUUACCUAAUGCGCAUUGCGCAAUUCAAUGAGUCAUCCUCUUUUGAACGCGCAUUGCACUUUCGGGAUAUUCCCGGACUAUGCUUGUCUCAGUGUCCGAA